CAGCAGCCACGGGAAUACGUAGGGUGCGAGCGUUGUCCGGAAUUACUGGGCGUAAAGGGCUCGUAGGUGGUUUGUCGCGUCGUCUGUGAAAUUCUGGGGCUUAACUCCGGGCGUGCAGGCGAUACGGGCAUAACUUGAGUGCUGUAGGGGUAACUGGAAUUCCUGGUGUAGCGGUGAAAUGCGCAGAUAUCAGGAGGAACACCGAUGGCGAAGGCAGGUUACUGGGCAGUUACUGACGCUGAGGAGCGAAAGCAUGGGUAGCGAACAGGAUUAGAUACCCCAGUAGUCCUGUCUCUUAUAC
Molecule: ribosomal RNA, 301 nt
Filed under: uncultured bacterium
Lineage: Bacteria
Description: partial 16S ribosomal RNA
Rfam family: Bacterial small subunit ribosomal RNA
Source: RNAcentral